This is a long non-coding RNA of Equus caballus (horse), 1914 nucleotides long. NCBI's taxonomy places the organism in Eukaryota, Metazoa, Chordata, Mammalia, Perissodactyla, Equidae. The record is from Ensembl.
CGACCAUCCCUCAGCCGCAGGGUCGCCCGGUGACUUUCAGCUUUGAAUUCAGAGACUAUUGACGCCCCAGGCGGGGCCAGCGUCUCCAGACCAGGCCACGGGGCUGCAGAGAGAAGAACACGCCUGCUUUUGCCGCGGAUCGCGAGCGCUCGGGCGCAAAGACCCAGAGUGAGGUGGGGCGUGAGUUUAACUUCCUGUAGAGAAAUUUCAACGUCUAUAGACCUUUUAAAAUAUAAUCUGACUUCAGAAGAGCAGCUGCAGUCUUUGGUGAAUUAAUUCACUUAAACCAGAAAGCCUGCCUGCUCCGUGCCGGUCUCUGAGCAGUAAGGGUGGGGGUGGGGGAAUGUGGUUAUCCCGUCCCAGGAAGCAGAGAUUCUUGGUGAGUCUUCCUAGUGCGAUCUUCUUCUCAACCCUGUCUGCUCUCAACCGCAAGUCCUGGCAGCUCGGCCUCCUCGGACGUAGAAACCUUUCCCCAAAUCUCCCUGGGAGCGAAUGACUUCAAACCGUUUGAGAACGAAAACACCUUUCUCAUUUGGAAACAAACGUUUGCCGCAGUCUUAUCGUUUAAGUAACGCCUUAUCCCUCCGUCGCUGCGUCCCAGCCUGGAAGUCCUGGUCUGUGGUGGGCACCAGAGAGCGAUUCCCAAGGUGCGGCGGGACCUUUGCUCCGUCACUGCGCGACCGGGUCUGCGGGCCUAGCCGUCCACUUGCCUUUGGUUCCCUGAAGCUCCGGGGGCACCCAACAAUUACUACUGCCCUGGCGACAGUCCCAGCUUGCCUGACCCUGAGAAGAUGUUGCGGGGUGGGGUUUAUUAAAUGAUGAAUUACAUCGAUUUUUGAAUGUUAAACCAACCUUGCAUUCCUGGGAUAAACCUCACUUGGUCCUGCUUUUUCUUUACCUGAAAAUGAUUCCUGACCGAGUGAAUUGCCCUUUGCUUUAAAAGCAACCCCAUCACUCACUCGAAGAUGUUAGUGCAGAGCUGCAUCUGAAUCUAAACCAGACUGCGUUAAAUCACUGUGCGUGUACAUCACGGUGCCUGGCAAACACAACCGUCGUUCUGGGGACAGCCACUUGAACUAGAGCAGUGGCAUUAAAUCUUCGCCUCACUCAAGUAUGGCCAUUCCGUGGUUUCGUUUACAGCUGACACGUCAAAGACAUUAUAAGGAAGAAGAUGAAACUCAAAGGCUCCACAAAAUUACCCAUGAAUAUGAUCCAGCAUUGGAAUGCACCCUGGAGCUUGAGGACAUGCCUGAAAUCCCCUGCAAACACUUGUCUUUCACUCCUCCUCAUACGCAGAAAGGAUGUGCACAUAUGACCCCUGGACUCACACAUGAUUCCAGCCCACAGUCACACUAAACUUGGGUUCGAGUUACACGUGUGCUUGCUUACACCUCAACUCACACACUCCCACCUGGACAUUUGUGUACACAGGCCUAUUCAUUCCUAGCAGAGCCAAAAUCUGCAUUUACAGCUACAUCAAAAACACACUUUUAGGUCCCUCAGAAACAAAUGGCAACAGAGAAGGGAAACAGGGCAGCUCUAAGAAUGGCCCUGCUCCCUCCUCUUCUGUCCGGGAGCAAAGCAACCAGGAUCUUUUGGGCUAAGUCGAUAUGCUGGGCCCCAGUGUAGACUCUUACAACAGGCCCUGAUCCGACUCCAAGGCCAAGAGCAGCAAUCCCCUCCCCGCCACGUCUGCUGGGUUCCUCCAGCUGUCUCCAGGGCAGUUCUCCCUACAUGCAAACUAUUAGCAUUUCCUGUUAAAACAUUUCUAAUAAAUAAAUGAAUACAUCAUCUUCCCAACCCAAAGCAGGUCUGAAAGCAGCCUAGGAGCUACUCCAAGCUAAGGAUGGACGUGGACCACCCAGCACCAGCCCACUGGCCCAGGGCCAAUGUUGCUUUUGUUUGAAUUCCUGU